ACGGAAGGCAGCAGCUAAGAAUAUUCCGCAAUGGAGGAAACUCUGACGGAGCGACGCCGCGUGGAUGAUGAAGGCCGGAAGGUUGUAAAAUCCUUUUGAAACUGAGGAAUAAGCAUUGAAGGAAAUGGCAGUGCGAUGACUGUAGGUUUUGAAUAAGCACCGGCUAAUUACGUGCCAGCAGCCGCGGUAACACGUAAGGUGCAAGCGUUGUUCGGAAUUAUUGGGCGUAAAGGGCAUGUAGGCGGUCAUGCAAGUCUGGUGUGAAAUCCCGGAGCUCAACUCCGGAACUGCACCGGAAACUGUAAGACUAGAAUUACUGAAGGGGAGCCGGAAUUCCAGGUGUAGGGGUGAAAUCUGUAGAUAUCUGGAAGAACACCAAUGGCGAAGGCAGGCUUCUGGCAGAUGAUUGACGCUGAGGUGCGAAGGUGCGGGGAGCAAACAGGAUUAGAUACCCUGGUA
This 459-nucleotide ribosomal RNA is filed under the name uncultured Treponema sp. RNAcentral describes it as "bacterial SSU rRNA". It matches the Rfam family "Bacterial small subunit ribosomal RNA", at positions 341 to 792 of the family's 1533-position model. The record is from RNAcentral. Lineage: Bacteria; Pseudomonadati; Spirochaetota; Spirochaetia; Treponematales; Treponemataceae.